RNAcentral lists this ribosomal RNA (437 nucleotides) under uncultured bacterium. RNAcentral describes it as "partial 16S ribosomal RNA". It matches the Rfam family "Bacterial small subunit ribosomal RNA", at positions 28 to 507 of the family's 1533-position model. The record is from RNAcentral.
GAUGAACGCUGGCGGCAUGCCUAACACAUGCAAGUCGGACGGGAGGUGGUGUUUCCAGUGGCGGACGGGUGAGUGACGGGUAAGUAACUGCCCUGGGGAGGGCCACCACAGCUGGAAACGGCUGCUAAUAGCCCGCAGGCUGAGGAGCAGAAGGAGGAAUCCACCCGAGGGGUGGCGUGCGUCUGAUUAGCUAGUUGGUGCUGCAAUAGCUUACCAAGGCGAUGAUCAGUAGAUGGUCCGAGAGGAUGAUCAGCCACACUGGGACGGGGACAAGGACCAGGCACCAUCGGGAGACAGGAGUGGGCAAGAUUCCGCAAUGGGGGGAGGGUGAAGGGGGCAUUGGCGCGGGGAAGUAGAAGGACUAGGGAUCGAGAACUGCUUUUCCCGGAGAAGAAGCAAUGACGGUACCUAGGGAAUAAGCAUCGGCUAACUCUGUG